RNAcentral lists this ribosomal RNA (783 nucleotides) under uncultured bacterium. Its description in RNAcentral is "bacterial SSU rRNA". It matches the Rfam family "Bacterial small subunit ribosomal RNA", at positions 8 to 838 of the family's 1533-position model. The record is from RNAcentral.
AGAGUUUGAUCCUGGCUCAGAACGAACGCUGGCGGCAGGCCUAAUACAUGCAAGUCGAGCGCGCCCUUCGGGGUGAGCGGCGGACGGGUGAGUAACGCGUGGGAAUAUGCCCUUCUCUAAGGAAUAGCCUCGGGAAACUGAGAGUAAUACCUUAUACGCCCUUCGGGGGAAAGAUUUAUCGGAGAAGGAUUAGCCCGCGUUAGAUUAGGUAGUUGGUGGGGUAAUGGCCUACCAAGCCUACGAUCUAUAGCUGGUUUGAGAGGAUGAUCAGCCACACUGGGACUGAGACACGGCCCAGACUCCUACGGGAGGCAGCAGUAGGGAAUCUUAGACAAUGGGGGAAACCCUGAUCUAGCCAUGCCGCGUGUGUGAUGAAGGCCUUAGGGUCGUAAAGCACUUUCGCCAGAGAUGAUAAUGACAGUAUCUGGUAAAGAAACCCCGGCUAACUCCGUGCCAGCAGCCGCGGUAAUACGGAGGGGGUUAGCGUUGUUCGGAAUUACUGGGCGUAAAGCGUACGUAGGCGGAUUAGUAAGUUAGAGGUGAAAUCCCAGGGCUCAACCCUGGAACUGCCUUUAAUACUGCUAGUCUUGAGUUCGAGAGAGGUAAGUGGAAUUCCGAGUGUAGAGGUGAAAUUCGUAGAUAUUCGGAGGAACACCAGUGGCGAAGGCGGCUUACUGGCUCGAUACUGACGCUGAGGUACGAAAGUGUGGGGAGCAAACAGGAUUAGAUACCCUGGUAGUCCACACCGUAAACGAUGAAUGCCAGACGUCAGCAGGUAUACUU